RNAcentral lists this ribosomal RNA (386 nucleotides) under Megaloglossus woermanni (Woermann's bat). Its description in RNAcentral is "partial 12S ribosomal RNA". It matches the Rfam family "Bacterial small subunit ribosomal RNA", at positions 794 to 1382 of the family's 1533-position model. The record is from RNAcentral. Lineage: Eukaryota; Metazoa; Chordata; Mammalia; Chiroptera; Pteropodidae.
GCUCAGUCCUAAACCUAAGUAGUUUUACAACAAUGCUACUCGCCAGAGUACUACUAGCAAUAGCUUAAAACUCAAAGGACUUGGCGGUGCUUUAUAUCCCUCUAGAGGAGCCUGUUCUGUAAUCGAUAAACCCCGAUAAACCUCACCAGCCCUUGCUAAUACAGCCUAUAUACCGCCAUCUUCAGCGAACCCUAAAAAGGAAUCACAGUAAGCCAAACCAUACAACAUAAAAACGUUAGGUCAAGGUGUAGCCCAUGAGCUGGGAAGAAAUGGGCUACAUUUUCUAGCAUAGAACAUAACGAAACUUUUCGUGAAACCGAAAACGGAAGGAGGAUUUAGUAGUAAAUUAAGAAUAGAGAGCUUAAUUGAAUAAGGCCAUGAAGCAC